UGGGGAAUAUUGCACAAUGGGGGAAACCCUGAUGCAGCGACGCCGCGUGAACGAAGAAGGUAUUCGUAUCGUAAAGUUCUGUCCUAUGGGAAGAUAAUGACAGUACCAUAGAAGAAAGCUCCGGCUAAAUACGUGCCAGCAGCCGCGGUCAUACGUAUGGAGCGAGCGUUGUCCGGAAUUAUUGGGCGUAAAGGGUACGCAGGCGGUUUAAUAAGUCGAAUGUUAAAGAUCGGGGCUCAACCCCGCAAAGCAUUGGAAACUGAUAAACUUGAGUAGUGGAGAGGAAAGUGGAAUUCCUAGUGUAGUGGUGAAAUACGUAGAUAUUAGGAGGAAUACCAGUAGCGAAGGCGACUUUCUGGACACAAACUGACGCUGAGGUACGAAAGCGUGGGGAGCAAACAGG
This 403-nucleotide ribosomal RNA is filed under the name bacterium. RNAcentral describes it as "partial 16S ribosomal RNA". It matches the Rfam family "Bacterial small subunit ribosomal RNA", at positions 355 to 776 of the family's 1533-position model. The record is from RNAcentral.